RNAcentral lists this ribosomal RNA (494 nucleotides) under uncultured bacterium. Its description in RNAcentral is "partial 16S ribosomal RNA". It matches the Rfam family "Bacterial small subunit ribosomal RNA", at positions 28 to 507 of the family's 1533-position model. The record is from RNAcentral.
GACGAACGCUGGCGGCGUGCUUAACACAUGCCAGUCGAACGGUGAAGCGCCUUCCUUUUUGGUGGGUGUGGAUGAGUGGCGAACGGGUGAGUAACACGUGAGUAACCUGCCCCAUUCUUCUGGAUAACCGCAUGAAAGUGUGGCUAAUACGGGAUAUUCUGGGUCUGUCGCAUGAUGGGUCUGUGAAAGAUAUUGUUUCGGUGGGGGAUGGGCUCGCGGCCUAUCAGCUUGUUGGUGGGGUGAUGGCCUACCAAGGCGGUGACGGGUAGCCGGCCUGUGAGGAGAUACAGUGAUAGAUCGAGGGAGACCCGGCCCGGACGGCUACGAGAGGCAGCGGGGCGAGGUAUCAGAGAAUGGGCGCUAGAGUGAUGCAGCGCCGCCCCGUUGGAGCUGGAGGGCGUCGGGUGGUGAAGGUCUAUCGUCAGUGAAGCAGGACUGGCUCAUUUGGGAGGAGGUUGAGGAGAGCUGAACAAGAAGGGCCGGCUAACUACGUG